UGGGGAAUUUUGGACAAUGGGCGAAAGCCUGAUCCAGCAAUGCCGCGUGUGUGAAGAAGGCCUUCGGGUUGUAAAGCACUUUUGUCCGGAAAGAAAUCCUUGGCUCUAAUACAGUCGGGGGAUGACGGUACCGGAAGAAUAAGCACCGGCUAACUACGUGCCAGCAGCCGCGGUAAUACGUAGGGUGCAAGCGUUAAUCGGAAUUACUGGGCGUAAAGCGUGCGCAGGCGGUUUGCUAAGACCGAUGUGAAAUCCCCGGGCUCAACCUGGGAACUGCAUUGGUGACUGGCAGGCUAGAGUAUGGCAGAGGGGGGUAGAAUUCCACGUGUAGCGGUGAAAUGCGUAGAGAUGUGGAGGAAUACCGAUGGCGAAGGCAGCCCCCCUGGGCCAAUACUGACGCUCAUGCACGAAAGCGUGGGGAGCAAACAGGAUUAGAUACCCCUGGUAGUCCACGCCCCUAAAACGAUGUCAACUAGUUGUUGGGGAUUCAUUUCCUUAGUAACGUAGCUAACGCGUGAAGUUGACCGCCUGGGGAGUACGGUCGCAAGAUUAAAACUCAAAUGAAUUGACGGGGUCAUAGCUGUUUCCU
This 589-nucleotide ribosomal RNA is filed under the name uncultured bacterium. Its description in RNAcentral is "partial 16S ribosomal RNA". It matches the Rfam family "Bacterial small subunit ribosomal RNA", at positions 355 to 1375 of the family's 1533-position model. The record is from RNAcentral.